Molecule: small nucleolar RNA, 69 nt
Organism: Maniola jurtina (meadow brown)
Lineage: Eukaryota; Metazoa; Arthropoda; Insecta; Lepidoptera; Nymphalidae
Source: RefSeq, a predicted model, not a curated record
AUUUAAUGAUGAAUAUUUCAGUUCUGCUUCUGAAGUUUUUUGAAGAAACUAUACCCACUCUUCUGAUGU